Non-coding RNA from Pelobates cultripes (western spadefoot toad), 1655 nucleotides. NCBI's taxonomy places the organism in Eukaryota, Metazoa, Chordata, Amphibia, Anura, Pelobatidae. The record is from the annotation of a GenBank genome assembly.
GUUUUACUACAACCUGCACAUUUGCAGCCUAUCCUUCAAAGUGUGGCAGUUCUAAGUUAGUCACUCGGGAGUUAAGGAAGUCUGUAAAUCAGUUAUCAUUCAUUUUAUACUGACUCUUUUACUACAAAACUGGCAGGGUUAUUUACUAAACUGAAUUUCAAAUGUAAGCAGAGUAGCUUGAAGCAAAGCUGACUUAGAGAUUUGUUUUUCCAUUUUGGCUAUUUUCACUGUAAAGUUUGAAUUCUCAAUUUAAUGAAUAACCCUGUGGGAUAUGUCUAGAUCCGAUAUAAAGCCUGCAGGCUAACAGAAGGGUGACCGUUAAAGCUGUUGCACUAAAACUCUCUUGUCUACAGCCAUUACUUGAAGUACAGCCCUGAUGUAAAAAAUAAUAUUUUUAACACAAAAAUGUCCCCAGUGCGUGAAGUAUCUUUCAGUUCCUUUGUUGCUCAAUAAAAGUCUUUCAAAAUAUUGCCAUAGAACUGAAGUAAUUGAAUAGAUUCCUCAAAGUCCUCUCUAAAAACAUAAUGUCUAUGGGAAAUGGUCAAGCUCAGAGGUUGUGGAUCUGUGCAUUUAUUUUUAUUUUUAUUUUUUUUCACAUGGAUCAAAGCUUUUGAUUUUCUGUUUGACAUUGCCAAGACAGCUGGCAUUAGUUAGUGGGCCUCUCUGGUAUUUCUCAUAAUAUUAAACCAUUUCAGAUUUCAUCUAAAAGUACACUAUAGUUAACUUGUUGAUUUACUUGUUACCAACCGGUGGAAACACUUCACCUCAUAAUGUUUAAUAUCUGCUGAUAUGACUUACUAUAAACAAAAUUAUGUACACAAGAUUUAUGGUAACGCAAUAUUCGUUUUGCAAAUAGUUUUUUGUUUUUUUUUUUCUCUCUGUAAGUUCAUAGCUGUAACCUAAAUUAAUGAGACUCUGAUAGCAUCAUUGACAAUCAUACAUGCCUCUUACAAAGUGGGAUCUCCUUGCAUAUAUCUUAUGUGUCUCCCUCUAGUUUGUUUUUAUUUUUUCUUAGCAGUGAAUUGAUAUCCUUCCACCUGCUGAUAUGAUGUACGUGAAACGAUCCUCCCUCAGACAUCUCUUGCCUAGAGUGUGCAAUACAACUCCUGUGUUUCUUGAUUUGCUUGUACAGGGUGUCUUGACUUGUUCUGUGAGAGCUGCUACCAUUAUGAACUUCCAGCCAGUUUUAGCACUUUGUGGUUUUGAGACAAACGUUUACUAAUAAGAGGUGAAUUUUGUUAUGUGUAGGUUUUUCUUAUUUCAAACAUGAUCUCCUUUGUUGACAAAGUAAUUGAGGGUUGGUCCACUCCAUCCUAUUGAGUACCUUUUUAUUUUACGACCAUUACUUUUUAAAUAUAUAUAUUAUAUAAAAUAUAUUUCCAGCACCCACAUCACAACUGGAGUGUAGGGAAAUGUAUUACAUACAGGUUAUUGUAGAUGUAUGUACAUGUUUUAUUAUAUACAGUUCCAGUGACUGACUUAGAAUUCUAUGAACAAAAUAUAUUGUGAUUUAUAACCAACUUGUUUUGAGAGAUUUUUUUUGCUUGAACCUGCACAACUGGAAUGUUGUAAGAGCAUAUCUAACAUCUUUAAAUUUAAGGUUUUUGUUUUACAAAUGAUGAUGUAAUGCAAUAAAAGAUUUUACUAACACCAUA